CUAUUCUAUUAUGGUAGCUGACAUGGACUGCUGUGGCCAUUCCUAAGCCAGAGAGAGCUCUUGGUAUUUGGAAAGGAGUCAUCUGAAGCAGGGCACGGAUUCUACCUUUAUGGAUAUGGAUAUGAGAGCUGGCCCUAUUCUAUGGAGCAUCUGGUUUGGCCUCCAGUCCAAAGUAAUUGCCUACCUCAGACGUGUGUAGCAGAUGUGGAGAGGAGACACAGAGCCCAGAGAAGGCGGAAGGUAAUAAGAAUUGUUUACCAAGCGACCCUUUGGAGGAGCUGCUCGAGGAGGACCACAAAGUCAUAAAUCCUCUUGACAAAGCUCCAAAGCAUAUACAGUUCACCAAAGCCUAUUUUCCUGAUAACCAGAGAAAUCCUGCUGUUGUUUGUUCAUUCCACCAAUGAAAUACUCUUUAAUUUAUUUUAUUAUUAUAGAUGAUGCACCAGAAAAUAAUCCUGUAUAAGGCAGAUGCCCAAAGUAACCUUGGUGUUCAGAGGUCAGUGAGACAAAGUUAGUAAGAAAUUAUUAAAGCCUUAUUCUCACUGAUUAAAAGGCCAUUUGAAUGUUUUCUGAAGAUGUAGUUAAUGGGCCAAGCCAAAGCUUACUGAAUAAAGUAGCUAAUGUAACUAUUUAUUUGUUGUUG
This 643-nucleotide long non-coding RNA is filed under the name Monodelphis domestica (gray short-tailed opossum). RNAcentral describes it as "lncRNA (ENSMODG00000032114.2)". The record is from RNAcentral. Lineage: Eukaryota; Metazoa; Chordata; Mammalia; Didelphimorphia; Didelphidae.